AGUGAACGCUGGCGGUAGGCCUAACACAUGCGAGUCGAACGGCAGCACAGUAAGAGCUUGCUCUUACGGGUGGCGAGUGGCGGACGGGUGAGGAAUACAUCGGAAUCUACUUUUUCGUGGGGGAUAACGUAGGGAAACUUACGCUAAUACCGCAUACGACCUACGGGUGAAAGCAGGGGAUCUUCGGACCUUGCGCGAUUGAAUGAGCCGAUGUCGGAUUAGCUAGUUGGCGGGGUAAAGGCCCACCAAGGCGACGAUCCGUAGCUGGUCUGAGAGGAUGAUCAGUCACACUGGAACUGAGACACGGUCCAGACUCCUACGGGAGGCAGCAGUGGGGAAUAUUGGACAAUGGGCGCAAGCCUGAUCCAGCCAUACCGCGUGGGUGAAGAAGGCCUUCGGGUUGUAAAGCCCUUUUGUUGGGAAAGAAAAGCAGCAGGUUAAUACCCCGCUGUUCUGACGGUACCCAAAGAAUAAGCACCGGCUAACUUCGUG
This 492-nucleotide ribosomal RNA is filed under the name uncultured bacterium. RNAcentral describes it as "partial 16S ribosomal RNA". It matches the Rfam family "Bacterial small subunit ribosomal RNA", at positions 29 to 507 of the family's 1533-position model. The record is from RNAcentral.